GUGCUCGCAUCAGCAGCACAUAUACUAAAAUUGGAAUGAUACAGAGGAGAUUAGCAUGGCCCGUGUGCAAGGAUGGCAGACAGAAGUGAUCUACAGAUUC
Molecule: small nuclear RNA, 100 nt
Filed under: Chinchilla lanigera (long-tailed chinchilla)
Lineage: Eukaryota; Metazoa; Chordata; Mammalia; Rodentia; Chinchillidae
Source: RNAcentral